AUACGAAGGGGGCUAGCGUUGUUCGGAAUUACUGGGCGUAAAGCGCGCGUAGGUGGACUGAUCAGUUGGGGGUGAAAUCCCAGGGCUUAACCCUGGAACUGCCUCCAAUACUGUCAGUCUUGAGUUCGAGAGAGGUGAGUGGAAUUCCUAGUGUAGAGGUGAAAUUCGUAGAUAUUAGGAAGAACACCAGUGGCGAAGGCGGCUCACUGGCCCGAUACUGACGCUGAGGCGCGAAAGCGUGGGGGGCAAACAGGAUUAGAUACCCUAGUAGUCC
This 274-nucleotide ribosomal RNA is filed under the name uncultured bacterium. RNAcentral describes it as "partial 16S ribosomal RNA". It matches the Rfam family "Bacterial small subunit ribosomal RNA", at positions 523 to 796 of the family's 1533-position model. The record is from RNAcentral.